AUCCUGGCUCAGGAUGAACGCUAGCGACAGGCUUAACACAUGCAAGUCGAGGGGCAGCGAGGGCGUAGCAAUACGCCUGUCGGCGACCGGCGCACUGGUGAGUAACACGUAUGCGACCUGCCCCCUACAGGGGUAUAACCCGUAGAAAUGCGGACUAAUCCCCCCAUAGUCCUGGGUGCUGCAUGGCAUUCAGGGGAAAGGCCAGCCGGUAGGGGAUGGGCAUGCGGCGCAUUAGCUAGUUGGCGGGGCAACGGCCCACCAAGGCGACGAUGCGUAGGGGGUUCUGAGAGGAAGGUCCCCCACACUGGUACUGAGACACGGACCAGACUCCUACGGGAGGCAGCAGUGAGGAAUAUUGGUCAAUGGCCGAGAGGCUGAACCAGCCAAGUAGCGUGCAGGACGACGGCCCUACGGGUUGUAAACUGCUUUUGCGGGAGGAUAAAGUGCGCCACGCGUGGCGCUUUGCAGGUAUCCCGUGAAUAAGGACCGGCUAAUUCCGUG
This 501-nucleotide ribosomal RNA is filed under the name uncultured bacterium. RNAcentral describes it as "bacterial SSU rRNA". It matches the Rfam family "Bacterial small subunit ribosomal RNA", at positions 16 to 507 of the family's 1533-position model. The record is from RNAcentral.